AGUGAACGCUGGCGGUAGGCCUAACACAUGCAAGUCGAACGGCAGCACAGUAAGAGCUUGCUCUUACGGGUGGCGAGUGGCGGACGGGUGAGGAAUACAUCGGAAUCUACUUUUUCGUGGGGGAUAACGUAGGGAAACUUACGCUAAUACCGCAUACGACCUACGGUUGAAAUCAGGGGAUCUUCGGACCUUGCGCGAUUGUAUGAGCCGAUUUCGGAUUAGCUAGUUGGCGGGGUAAAGGCCCACCAAGGCGACGAUCCGUAGCUGGUCUGAGAGGGUGAUCAGCCACACUGGAACUGAGACACGGUCCAGACUCCUACGGGAGGCAGCAGUGGGGAAUAUUGGACAAUGGGCGAAAGCAUGAUCCAGCCAUACCGCGUGGGUGAAGAAGGCCUUCGGGUUGUAAAGCCCUUUUGUUGGGAAAGAAAAGCAGCAGGUUAAUACCCCGCUGUUCUGACGGUACCCAAAGAAUAAGCACCGGCUAACUUCGUG
RNAcentral lists this ribosomal RNA (492 nucleotides) under uncultured bacterium. RNAcentral describes it as "partial 16S ribosomal RNA". It matches the Rfam family "Bacterial small subunit ribosomal RNA", at positions 29 to 507 of the family's 1533-position model. The record is from RNAcentral.